RNAcentral lists this small nucleolar RNA (104 nucleotides) under Mus pahari (shrew mouse). RNAcentral's name for it is "snoRNA (MGP_PahariEiJ_G0034240.1)". The record is from RNAcentral. Lineage: Eukaryota; Metazoa; Chordata; Mammalia; Rodentia; Muridae.
AUUGCCCCUAGAGGCAUUGUGACCAUUGUGUCACACAUUUGAAAGUAGGUGUCAAGAGAAGAGUUCUGACCUAGGGACAUCUGAGUGAUCAGUAGCCUUACAGU